Molecule: ribosomal RNA, 250 nt
Filed under: uncultured bacterium
Lineage: Bacteria
Description: partial 16S ribosomal RNA
Rfam family: Bacterial small subunit ribosomal RNA
Source: RNAcentral
UGGGGAAUAUUGGACAAUGGGGGCAACCCUGAUCCAGCAAUGCCGCGUGUGUGAAGAAGGUCCUCGGAUUGUAAAGCACUUUCGACGGGGACGAUGAUGACGGUACCCGUAGAAGAAGCCCCGGCUAACUUCGUGCCAGCAGCCGCGGUAAUACGAAGGGGGCUAGCGUUGCUCGGAAUGACUGGGCGUAAAGGGCGUGUAGGCGGUUUACACAGUCAGAUGUGAAAUCCCCGGGCUUAACCUGGGAGCU